UACGGAGGGGGUUAGCGUUGUUCGGAAUUACUGGGCGUAAAGCGCGCGUAGGCGGGCUGUUAAGUCGGGGGUGAAAUCCCCGGGGCUCAACCCCGGAACGGCCCUCGAUACUGGCAGCCUAGAGUUCGAGAGAGGUGAGUGGAAUUCCGAGUGUAGAGGUGAAAUUCGUAGAUAUUCGGAGGAACACCAGUGGCGAAAGGCGGCUCACUGGCUCGAUACUGACGCUGAGGUGCGAAAAGCGUGGGGGAGCAAAACAGG
Molecule: ribosomal RNA, 258 nt
Filed under: uncultured bacterium
Lineage: Bacteria
Description: partial 16S ribosomal RNA
Rfam family: Bacterial small subunit ribosomal RNA
Source: RNAcentral